Long non-coding RNA from Pomacea canaliculata, 429 nucleotides. RefSeq lists it as uncharacterized. The transcript has 3 exons. The record is from RefSeq and is a predicted model, not a curated record. Lineage: Eukaryota; Metazoa; Mollusca; Gastropoda; Architaenioglossa; Ampullariidae.
GGAUCCUCCCCACCCAAUGGGAGUCACGUCUACCCAUGUGACAGCGAACUGAGACCUACAUCAGAUCAGUCGUCAGCGAGUGGGGCCUGCCAAAGCAUUUUUCACCUUUCUUCUCCACUUUGCCGUGUACUGAACAGGAAGCUCGAGCCUACACCUAAAGUACCUGUGACCUUCUGUGGAGGAGUGGGUAGACCCAUGGCUAAUCUUUGGUUCCUCCUGCUGCUUCACCUCACUGGUGUAUCAGUGACCACAAGCCAGUUGUGCCGCACAGAUAUCCCAUGGGACUAUAAUGGGACUAUCGAGUCGCCAGGAUUUCCACAGGAAUACUACGGGAACCAAAAUUGCUUGUACUCCUUUUCUCUUCCAAAUACCUUCAGCACCUGGAGAAUCAAUUUCACCUACUUUAACCUCCCGAACACAUCAUGUGAC